UACGAAGGGUGCAAACGUUGCUCGGAAUCAUUGGGCGUAAAGCGCACGUAGGCGGCUCCAAAAGUCGGAUGUGAAAUCCCUCGGCUCAACCGAGGACGUGCAUCCGAAACUGCGGAGCUUGAGUAUGGAAGAGGGUCGCGGAAUCCCCGGUGUAGAGGUGAAAUUCGUAGAUAUCGGGGGGAACACCAGUGGCGAAGGCGGCGACCUGGGCCAAUACUGACGCUGAGGUGCGAAAGCGUGGGGAGCAAACAGGAUUAGAAACCCCCGUAGUCC
This 273-nucleotide ribosomal RNA is filed under the name uncultured bacterium. RNAcentral's name for it is "partial 16S ribosomal RNA". It matches the Rfam family "Bacterial small subunit ribosomal RNA", at positions 524 to 796 of the family's 1533-position model. The record is from RNAcentral.